Cydia pomonella (codling moth) is the source of this 6263-nucleotide long non-coding RNA. RefSeq lists it as uncharacterized. The record is from RefSeq and is a predicted model, not a curated record. Lineage: Eukaryota; Metazoa; Arthropoda; Insecta; Lepidoptera; Tortricidae. The transcript has 2 exons.
ACACACAUUAGUUACUGCUACUUAUUUAAACUGACACAGUAUUUUUAACUAGUUAUCAUUAACAAUGUUUCCUAUCCCAGUCUGUAAGUUUCGCAUCAUAUUAAUUAACUUUGAUUAACUUCUUUACAUGAUCAUUGCAUAAAGUAUAGAACUUCAAAACUCGUAUCCUUAUUAAGGUUUCUACUCUAAAUGCUGUUUUUGAUAUUGUCAUAAAAAUAACACUAUAUUACAUUACAUAAAUGUCUGACCCAAACCCUGCAGAUACCUGGAAAGUACUGACAGUCAGUGGGGUGUUUUUAAAUAAUUAUUUUUUUUGGAAUUAUGCGUAACAUAGUCAGAGGCUUUACAGAGAUGGUAUGACGUCUUCCAUGCCGGACAUACACUGGCAAUUGUGCAAACAAAGCGAUAUACUGACCGGGUUAACCUUGAAUGGUAAUAGCGCGAGAAGUUUCGCUGAGGAAAAAUGCCGCCAUUGAAGCACAGCGUGCGUGCCUCGUAUAACGGUCACUACAAACCGAAUAAGUGCUUUUACAUCGUACGCAGAAUGAUAACAUACCGCGAUACUUGUCACGCGAUUUGCGGAACAGACCUACCAACCUACAUUCAAUGACCUUGCCCUUAUAAUCUCCAAUCUGGUAUUGUUACAGGUAGUAAACCAGUGGAAGAUGUCCUUUUAUAUUUAUUUAACUAUGUAACAACAAUACAAAACAACUAUUUAUUCACUAUUUCCUACAACAUAACAUAAAAAUAUUGACCAGACCAGCCUUUAAAGACAUAAUAUUCGAGGCCUGUGCUAGCGUUAUUUAAUUGCAAAUCUUGUAAUUAGAAUAUAUUCAGAGAUUGAUCGGUAUUAAACAAUCGUAUUCGUUUGGGUGGCUUCAGUAUUUUUCAAACUAUAGGGUAAGGUGACAGCUGUCAUCUCCAUAUAAUUUAUAACCUAAAAACGCCAAAUCUCGCAAAAUUGUAUUGAAAUGACACAUGUCACUCUACCUAUCGAGUUUGAAAAAUACUAUAGCCAUUUUAAUUGUUAAUUUUAAAUGUUAAGUGUUUUAAUCAAAAUAGUUACUCUUUAAUAUGUGCGAUGCUACCUGUACAAUAGGGAAACUACAAGGUUUAUAUAAAAUUAUAUCUGAAAAAUGAAGUGAUGAAAUAUAAUUUAUAUAUGUCAUGGGUAUUGUAAAGGUACAUUAUAAAUUAAUAUGAUAUUUAUAUGUGUAAGUAUAAAGGAGGAUUAGAGAGAUAGUGAUCGAGGGCGAAAAUAGUACAAUUAACUGUUAAGGGAAUACGAGUAAUCGUUAUAGUAGAGUAUAUAAUUAAUUUUGUGCCCUUAAAUUGUAUAAAACACUUAAUACAUUUUCAAUAAAUAGAAUUUACUGGAGAGCUCAAUGUAAUUUGAGAGAGAAGCUUUUUAUUGUAUAAUUGAGACGGUACUGAAUAUUUUGUACAGGUAGAGAAUUACAGAAGGAUGUCGAGGCGACCUCGGCGCCUGCGACGGAACAAUACCUCGCUAACGAGAUAACGACGGUGUUCUUCAGGUGCAGCGCGUUCGCGCGGCGGCCGUCGAAGCCCGCUCUCGGAACACCUCAAUCCUCCUUUGUUUACGUUGGGAUCGCACUUGCCCGCUGAGCUCGAUUACAUCCCCAACGCAAUAAAGCUUGAAGCUAGCUCACGACUCCGCAAUGUCUACUCUUUAUCGCCCCCACCGAAUGCGGAGCGAUCUUAAACGUAUUUUAAUAACUUCCACCCGCCGGUCGCCAUAAUGGGCUCACCAUGCAAAUGCCUGUGCCCACGGAGCACCGUUACACACCGAUACCGACAGUAACGAACCGCCCCGUGAAAUAAAGAAAGGUAAUAAUCGCGAACGGGAAAUCCGAUCACGCCGCAAGGCACCAAGCGCGCAGGAAACACCGGCACCGACAUUCCAAUUGCAAACUGCAACUAUUUAAACUAAACCUGCACAUAAACUCUGCUAAACAGGCUGUACGAUUCCAUUUUACUCGGUAUAAAAAACAUUAACGUUGUCGUUAAGAAAGUGCUCUAACUAGUUCCUGAUAGUCGCUAUCCCAUCGGAGAUCGAAUGAGGUAACUUCCAGUGAAGUUGAUUUAUCUCGUGUGGAUUUGAAGUUCCCUUUCGCGAUAUAGCAAAGCGCUUUCCCUGUCGCAACUCUGCGCUUUGACAUCGCUCUUCCUUUCUACGUUGCUGUCGUUUACGGAAUCACACCACGACUAAUUGUCAGUGAGCAUCUGCCUCAAGUGGAUAAUAGAUAAUAAUCUUUCGUGUUUGAUCCUAAUCAUCAUCUCAUUAAAAACAUUUACCGGAAAGACAGGUAGUCGCCUUUUAUGUGUUUGUAACUUAUCAGACAGCGUAUCUAUUAUUCGAUUAGGUUUAGAUUGGAUACUGUCUGCGAGUCUGCCCAUGUCAAACGUUAUUGCAAAAUAAGAUUUACUAUUCUCUCACGUUCACAUCAAGAUCGAGUUGGGCGACAACAACCUCUACAAAAAGUAAGUUGAAAAUCUAAUAGAGUUUGCGGCGAGCCGGUAAUUUGUGUUAUUUUUUAGUGUUGCUGACGCUGAAGAGAAAUGCUAUGUAACGCUAGCCAACCAAGCAACCUGACAUUACUGUAAUAACUCUGAACCGCCCUUCUGUCAUUACUCUGUUCACUUUCCUGGGCUAAAGAUAUGACUUUUUAUUUCUAUAUGCCAUAUUCUUUGCAAUUGCAUUUUAUAAUAUCCACACCGCGCCAGGAAUUUGUGUCGGUUUACCAAGAAUAUUAAUGUUGAAUCUGGUACUUAGGAACACUUGUUUGGAGACUAAUGGGUUGUGCUUACUCGAAUAUACCGUAGUGGGUACUUAUUAGGUUAGCACGUGAUUACGUAACGUCGCUGGUUGUUAUGUACGAUUGCUUGUGAAGUAAUGAUGUUAUAAUUGAUGCGGGGCAGCGGUCGGGUAGAAGCAGCGAUGCGUGUACAAACAGGUCCAAGUAAUGCACCUAGACAGUGGCGGCGCGCACGGCCUGCGCCCUGCGUGGUCAUUGCGCGUGAUAUUAAUCGAGCGGCCAGAUAUUAUUUCUCUAUGAUUGCACCCUUAUAGAUCCACCACCUUUUCAUUAUCAAAGCCUGCUUUUUUGCAAUUCACUCGCAACAGUAAUUGACCUCUAAACAUGGCCGUCGGUACGUUCAGUAGAAAUUGCAAAACAAUUCAUCUAAUAAACCAAGCCAAUCUUUCCGCAUUAUGUCAUUAUAUUCUUCACCUCGAGUCAGCGAACCCAUUUUUUCAUUUGGAAUACAUUAAAACCGAAUGUCUAUACUCUUAGUGAUCGUGAACCGCUGAUAGAAAGCUCGAGUUUUAUUCUGCUACUUGUUGUACGACGUCUUAUCUAUAAUAGACUAUUUAAUGUUGAGCUUCCUGACGAUGAAACACGAGGCAAUAAUUCUUGGCACGUUGUUGCUAAACAGCACGUCUAAACAAUUUCGUUGAGACACUUAAGAUGAUAUUUAAAAUAAUUGUAUGCAGUGGAUUAAUUACUUUGAUUAAUUGGGUAAGAACCAUUUCAGUUUUACGAGUUUUUUUUUUUAUUUAUACACAAAAUAUUAACAUAAUAAUUUUGUGUUUAUAUAGGUUUUUUGUUGUGUUGGCUGUUAUUAUAAAAUGGAAUAGGUAAAAAAAUACUUCUAUAUUUUAUGUAGCACUAUGGGAGUAAACGCGUAUGUUUUUUGCGGGUUUGCUUUUUUAUUUGUUUUCUUUUACCCGAGUACGGGAAAAGUUAUAUAAUCUUGACAGUCUAGGUCCUGUUUGUGUUGCUAUUUCACGGUAGCAUUAAAACUUCUGAGACAGUUUUACUACGUGGUCUGAGUGUUAAACGGAGGAUGUUUUUUAUAAAAAAAGAAUAUCUCAAAACUCGGCCAAGAGCAUGUCCAUGCUCAAUGUAGGGCUCCGUAGUUAUUAUUCUGUCAGAAUAGGCUAAACGGGGACUAUUAGUUAGUAUCAUAUACAAAUUACAUUACAAGCAUAUUUUUAUUUUACCGUUCUGUCGCCAUGCAUGAUUUAUAUAUCCAUGCCAAAUUGCAGCUUUCUAGCACUAACGAUCACAUAGCAAAACCACGGACAGACAGACAGACGGACAAGGCGAAACUAUAAUAGUUCCUAGUUGACUACGGAACGGCGUGCUUUUAGUGAUGAAAGCUUGUGUUAUUACAAAGUGCGAAAUUGUUUGUUUUUUACGAUUCAGUAUUGAUUGAUCUCUGAAUAGUUUGCGUAUCAGGUAGCUAGAAUGCAAUGGCAUUAAUGAAGCGCAGGCUUUUCCUGGUCACGCAUGAACCAUAUUUAAUACAUCUACCGAUAUAAUUAUAUCCUUCGUGUCCAAUGUAUCUCGCUGAGCACAGUUAAGUGUGUAUUCAGCCCCCUAUUUAUUUAUAUUUAUACCCGAUUACGACGAACUCAAAAGGGAGGAUAUGGGUAUGUAGGUAUUCACGUACAGGAAAAACUAUUAUACCUACCUACUGAUUUUCAUAAAUAAAGUAUCAAUCGAAUCGUUUUUGCGACACACGAUAUAUUUGUACCUAUAUACUGAAUUGUAGCAAUAAUUAAUAGGUUUAUUUACAUACAAUUAUCCGGGUUUAACUACUUCUAAUGUUUAUUUUGCAAAAUAACACGGGGUUUGCUGUUGCUGUAAAACUAUGCUAUAAAUACUUAUGUGUGAUGUAAUUGUGAUUCACGUUGAAUGAACGGGGUUGCCUUUUAUACCUUAUUUGUUUUUUUUAAAUUAAAAUUUGAAAAAAAAAACUUUAAUACGGCUUAUGACAUCAAAGGUCUAUGCUAUUAUUAUGUAACGUCGAGAUGUGUACGAAGAAGUAUCAUUGGUCAUCUUUGCAACGAGGCAUAGCGCCCACCAAGCGAAAACAUCAACCACGCUGUGAUAAUAAUGGUCAGGCAGCUGAGAAUAUUCCGCCAUCUCCGUGGGCAAGUAGACGAUUCUGUGUCUGCAUUUAAUAUUUAUCCGAUAGCAUUGAUUGGAGUACAUUGUCAAUAGUUCCCCGAUUAAUGCGCGCGAUCGGUUCUAGGUGGGUCCGUUUGCCUUAGUCGCGGUAUCGCGCGAGCAAUCGUAACUUCUUCCCACAUAAUUGGCGUGUGGGCGCGGCAGUGGCGCUUUAUCCCGAUCGCCGCCCACCGGCGACGAGGCGACGCCCGAUUAGAUAGCACGGCCCCCAACCCGACCCGGGAACACCUCCCGCACCACUAACUAACUGGGGACGUCUUCCGCGCAGUAGCGCAAAAUUAUUAUCUCCUUACCCUUACGAGAUGGCAGAGGGCGCGAAACCAUUAUUGCGUGUUCGCACUCAGUCGCAUAUCUCAUAUAUAUCUCUCGGGCUAGAGGAAUCGUAUUUUAUUACACAGGUAGCCUUUGCGCCCGACUCCGUGCGCGUAGAUGUCGUCCAACAGCCCCCGGACAGUACCAGAGACAUAAACUUACAAAUUACCCUUAUAAACACUCCAGCCCGUUUUACCUCCGUAAGGAAGGAAAUGCAAAAAACACUGAAAUCACUUUUCUUUUCAUGUUAUAAACAUAAACAUCUAUUAAUACCUUUUCUCAGAGGUCUUUGUAAACAAACUGUUGUGAGCUAAGUAAUGCCAGUUUUAUCAUCGAUGUAUUUGAGUAUUUUAUAUAUGUACUAUUUUUUAUUAGAAUAAUAAUGUGUAUGUUUUCAUGUUCAGUCUCAAAAUCCCUAUUGAUCUAAUUAAUACUUUUCGUUUAUUUUUUAGCCUAUUGGUGUCCCUUCGCGCCUCAGAAACAAUACAUAGAGUAGUAUAAAACCGUGGUCAGCGGCAGCGCGUCAACAACAUCAUUCCUUUUCUCUUCGCCUCUUAAAACUAGACAUGUACAUAUUACUAUUUUUAGCCAACAUUAUGGUAAACUAAAUUUUUAAAUAACAAAGUUCAACUAGAAAUCUGGGAGGUCACGCUUACGGCGGUCAAUGUCUACGCGGAUACGUAUAAUUCCUCACCCAAUUCUUAGCAGAUGACGUUUCGCUGAACAUCGUUUCGCAGAGUGAUUUGCUGGUAGAUGUAACUUUUCGUCGCCUAACGUUGGGUUGGCAUGUGUGUAAAAUAGCAGAACAAUUAUCGGAAGAAUUUCAUUAGGCAGGUGUAUUUGUUGAGCUAUUCACAUCCAUUCCAUGAUGCUGAACUUCCCAUCUAAUUAUGUAUGUGAGAAAACCCGUCUGUAUUCUAUAGAUAAUUAAAUGUAAAUGAAAUCGACAUUACA